GACGAACGCUGGCGGCGUGCUUAACACAUGCAAGUCGAACGGAAAGGCCCUGCUUUUGUGGGGUGCUCGAGUGGCGAACGGGUGAGUAACACGUGAGUAACCUGCCCUUGACUUUGGGAUAACUUCAGGAAACUGGGGCUAAUACCGGAUAGGAGCUCCUGCUGCAUGGUGGGGGUUGGAAAGUUUCGGCGGUUGGGGAUGGACUCGCGGCUUAUCAGCUUGUUGGUGGGGUAGUGGCUUACCAAGGCUUUGACGGGUAGCCGGCCUGAGAGGGUGACCGGCCACAUUGGGACUGAGAUACGGCCCAGACUCCUACGGGAGGCAGCAGUGGGGAAUAUUGCAAAAUGGGCGGAAGCCUGAUGCAGCAACGCCGCGUGCGGGAUGACGGCCUUCGGGUUGUAAACCGCUUUCGCCUGUGACGAAGCGUGAGUGACGGUAAUGAGUAAAGAAGCACCGGCUAACUACGUG
RNAcentral lists this ribosomal RNA (468 nucleotides) under uncultured bacterium. RNAcentral describes it as "partial 16S ribosomal RNA". It matches the Rfam family "Bacterial small subunit ribosomal RNA", at positions 28 to 507 of the family's 1533-position model. The record is from RNAcentral.